GACGAACGCUGGCGGUGUGCUUAACACAUGCAAGUCGAACGGAAAGGCCCUGCUUUUGUGGGGUGCUCGAGUGGCGAACGGGUGAGUAACACGUGAGUAACCUGCCCUUGACUUUGGGAUAACUUCAGGAAACUGGGGCUAAUACCGGAUAGGAGCUCCUGCUGCAUGGUGGGGGUUGGAAAGUUUCGGCGGUUGGGGAUGGACUCGCGGCUUAUCAGCUUGUUGGUGGGGUAGUGGCUUACCAAGGCUUUGACGGGUAGCCGGCCUGAGAGGGUGACCGGCCACAUUGGGAAUGAGAUACGGCCCAGACUCCUACGGGAGGCAGCAGUGGGGAUGAUUGCACAAUGGGCGGAAGCCUGAUGCAGCAACGCCGCGUGCGGGAUGACGGCCUUCGGGUUGUAAACCGCUUUCGCCUGUGACGAAGCGUGAGUGACGGUAAUGGGUAAAGAAGCACCGGCUAACUACGUG
This 468-nucleotide ribosomal RNA is filed under the name uncultured bacterium. Its description in RNAcentral is "partial 16S ribosomal RNA". It matches the Rfam family "Bacterial small subunit ribosomal RNA", at positions 28 to 507 of the family's 1533-position model. The record is from RNAcentral.